CCCUAUGGGGUGCAGCCGGAACGCAUACGGCACAUCUUCGCGAACGGCGAAGGGGUAUUUUUGACCGAGCAUAUCCGCAGUAAUGGGAGCGCCGUAUCGGUGAGGAUACGGGCGCAUAUCGUCGAUGUCGGCGGGGAAUCGAUGCUGCUGGGGAUCGUUCAGGAUAUCAGUGACUGGCAGGAGGCACAGGACAAGCUCACUGCCAGUGAACAACUGUACCGCACCCUGGUCAAUACCAUGCACGAGGGGCUGGUGAAGAUCGAUAACAGCGGUGUUGUCGGAUAUGCCAAUGCCCGGAUGCAGAUGAUGCUUGGCUACAGCGAGGGCGAGCUUGUCGGGCAAUCGCCGCAGCAGUUCGUCGAUGAGGGCGGGAGGGC
This 377-nucleotide ribosomal RNA is filed under the name uncultured prokaryote. RNAcentral's name for it is "partial 16S ribosomal RNA". The record is from RNAcentral.